AAGUCGUAACAAGGUUUCCGUAGGUGAACCUUCGGAAGGAUCAUUAUUGAGAUUACUUUUACUACACCUGUGAAUUUAUUUACACUUGCUUGGUUGUUUCCCACAAGGGCGCAACCAAAUUUAAAACUACAAUUUUUUAUAUUUUGUCUGAAAAAACAAUAAUUUAAAAACUAUUAGCAACGGAUCUCUUGGUUCUC
This 197-nucleotide unclassified non-coding RNA is filed under the name air metagenome. RNAcentral describes it as "partial contains small subunit ribosomal RNA, internal transcribed spacer 1, and 5.8S ribosomal RNA". The stretch from base 1 to 46 matches the Rfam family "Eukaryotic small subunit ribosomal RNA", at positions 1786 to 1831 of the family's 1831-position model. The record is from RNAcentral.